Molecule: ribosomal RNA, 472 nt
Filed under: uncultured bacterium
Lineage: Bacteria
Description: bacterial SSU rRNA
Rfam family: Bacterial small subunit ribosomal RNA
Source: RNAcentral
ACUCCUACGGGAGGCAGCAGUGGGGAAUAUUGGACAAUGGGGGAAACCCUGAUCCAGCCAUGCCGCGUGUGUGAAGAAGGCCUUCGGGUUGUAAAGCACUUUCAGUGGGGAGGAAAGGUUGUUGGUUAAUACCUAACAGCUGUGACGUUACCCACAGAAGAAGCACCGGCUAACUCCGUGCCAGCACGCCGCGUAAUACGGAGGGUGCAAGCGUUAAUCGGAAUUACUGGGCGUAAAGCGUGCGCAGGCGGUCUGUUAAGCGAGAUGUGAAAGCCCCGGGCUCAACCUGGGAACUGCAUUUCGAACUGGCAGACUAGAGUCUUGUAGAGGGGGUAGAAUUCCAGGUGUAGCGGUGAAAUGCGUAGAGAUCUGGAGGAAUACCGGUGGCGAAGGCGGCCCCCUGGACAAAGACUGACGCUCAGGCACGAAAGCGUGGGGAGCAAACAGGAUUAGAUACCCUGGUAGGAUAGCG